UUGGAUCAGAGGUCACGGUGGUUGAGUUUGCUGGCGAUAUCGUUCCUUCUAUGGAUGGUGAAAUCCGUAAGCAGUUUCAGCGUUCUCUUGAGAAGCAAAAGAUGAAGUUCAUGCUCAAGACCAAAGUUGUGUCCGUGGACGCCUCUGGAGACGGUGUGAAGCUCACGGUGGAGCCAGCUGAAGGUGGAGACCAGACCACGCUCGAAGCCGAUGUUGUCCUUGUCUCAGCGGGGAGAACACCCUUCACAUCUGGACUUGACCUGGAGAAAAUCGGAGUGGAAACCGACAAAGGUGGGAGAAUUCUGGUGAACGAGAGGUUCUCGACCAAU
This 329-nucleotide long non-coding RNA is filed under the name Brassica rapa (field mustard). RNAcentral's name for it is "long non-coding RNA (BRAP_LNC004029)". Lineage: Eukaryota; Viridiplantae; Streptophyta; Magnoliopsida; Brassicales; Brassicaceae. The record is from RNAcentral.